Molecule: long non-coding RNA, 565 nt
Filed under: Rattus norvegicus (Norway rat)
Lineage: Eukaryota; Metazoa; Chordata; Mammalia; Rodentia; Muridae
Description: long non-coding RNA NONRATT032091
Source: RNAcentral
CCCCACUUCCUAACCCUUGACAUAGUGGGAUGGCUUCCAGAGCUCCAAGCAUCCCUUUCAUGCUAACCUGGCUUUUGCCAUCUUUGAUAGUUUUUACAGAAUCAUUGGGUGCCAUACCUGGGAGCUAUUCUCAGGGCCCUUCCUGGAGACAGCCCUACACUCCCACCAUUACCCUUCUCUGGGGACCCACAUCUCCCACAUCCUUGGGGUGGUGGUAGAGAUAGGGCACGUCUCUCUAUUCUCCUUAUAUUUCAGAAUCAAACACCUCAGAACUAACUUGGCUUGGAGCAUCUUGGGAAAGGCAACGAAUCAGAGUGGCCUCUUUCAAGGCUUAUUCUCCAAAAAGUCCAGGAGAUUCAAAGAAGAUGACCCUGAACUUGAAGUAUUUAGAGGGAUGGUAAGUGUUACCGGGGGUCGCUUUUUGCUGUUCAAACUUUCAUGACUUGGCAUGCAACCUGCACUAAGUCAGAAAUAACCAAUUAUUUGACAAAGUCAUGAAGGACUUGAACACAAGCCAUAGGCACCUCAAUGUGAAUCUCCACAUUUCUGUCAGCACGAACUCAAC